RNAcentral lists this ribosomal RNA (253 nucleotides) under uncultured bacterium. RNAcentral's name for it is "partial 16S ribosomal RNA". It matches the Rfam family "Bacterial small subunit ribosomal RNA", at positions 524 to 776 of the family's 1533-position model. The record is from RNAcentral.
UACGUAGGUGGCAAGCGUUAUCCGGAAUUACUGGGCGUAAAGCGCACGUAGGCGGUUGGCUAAGUCUGACGUGAAAGCUCCUGGCUUAACUGGGAGAGGUCGUUGGAAACUGGCUGACUUGAGGCGAUGAGAGGGACGUAGAAUUCCCGGUGUAGUGGUGGAAUGCGUAGAUAUCGGGAGGAAUACCAGUGGCGAAAGCGGCGUCCUAGCAUCGGCCUGACGUUCAUGUGCGAAAGCGUGUGGAGCGAACGGG